GUCAGCUUGUCAGCAUGAGGUUCCCUGCAGAGCUGCUGGGGCUGCUGCUGCUCUGGAGCCCAGGCUCCAGUGGGGAGGUCGUGCUGACCCAGACCCCCCUCUCCCUGGCUGUCGCCCCUGGGGAGCAGGUCUCCAUCUCCUGCAGGGCCAGUCAGAAUCUUGUGCACAGUAAUGGAAACACCUACUUGGAAUGGUACCAGCAGAAACCGGGCCAGUCUCCAAGUCUCCUGAUCUAUUUGGUUUCCAAAAGAUAUAGUGGGGUCCCCGACAGGUUCAGUGGCAGCGGGGCGGGGACAGAUUUCACCCUGAAGAUCAGCAGGCUGGAGCCUGAGGAUGCUGGAGUCUAUUACUGCAUGCAGGGUACACAUGAUCCUCCCACGGUGGUUGAGCCCCGAACAAAAACCUCCCUCGUGGCCGGUACAGAUGCCCAUGUGGUUGGCUUCUGUCUCGUGAGCUGGCACAGGAGACCGAGCCUGUGUAAGAGGAAGAUGGUAGAGAGCUCUGGGCCGUGA
Non-coding RNA from Condylura cristata (star-nosed mole), 512 nucleotides. The record is from the annotation of a RefSeq genome assembly. NCBI's taxonomy places the organism in Eukaryota, Metazoa, Chordata, Mammalia, Eulipotyphla, Talpidae.